GAUGAACGCUGACAGAAUGCUUAACACAUGCAAGUCAACUUGAACUUCGGUUUGGGUGGCGGACGGGUGAGUAACGCGUAAAGAACUUGCCUCACAGAUAGGGACAACAUUUGGAAACGAAUGCUAAUACCUGAUAUUAUGAUUAUAUGGCAUCGUAUAAUUAUGAAAGCUAUAUGCGCUGUGAGAGAGCUUUGCGUCCCAUUAGCUAGUUGGAGAGGUAACGGCUCACCAAGGCGAUGAUGGGUAGCCGGCCUGAGAGGGUGAUCGGCCACAAGGGGACUGGGACACGGCCCUUACUCCUACGGGAGGCAGCAGUGGGGAAUAUUGGACAAUGGACCAAGAGUCUGAUCCAGCAAUUCUGUGUGCACAAUGAAGUUUUUCGGAAUGUAAAGUGCUUUCAGUUGGGAAGAAAAAAAUGACGGUACCAACAGAAGAAGUGACGGCUAAAUACGUG
RNAcentral lists this ribosomal RNA (454 nucleotides) under uncultured bacterium. RNAcentral describes it as "partial 16S ribosomal RNA". It matches the Rfam family "Bacterial small subunit ribosomal RNA", at positions 28 to 507 of the family's 1533-position model. The record is from RNAcentral.